Molecule: long non-coding RNA, 3288 nt
Organism: Mus musculus (house mouse)
Lineage: Eukaryota; Metazoa; Chordata; Mammalia; Rodentia; Muridae
Product: predicted gene 44781
Exons: 3
Source: RefSeq, a predicted model, not a curated record
GCACACCUGUGACGGGAAAAUCAGACAGAUGGGCCUGGGACUGCCCUGGAGCUCUGGGGCACCACCCCCUUCCAGGGAACGGGUCAAGUAUGUCUUUCUCUUGACUGUUUCCUCUAAGAAAAGGCUCUCAGAGCCCUCAUUUUCUAUUUCUUCCUCAGGCCUCAAGCCUGGUCUAUUGGGCAGCACGCCAUAGCCUAUGCCUUGGUCCUGUCAAGACCCAUCUAGAAGCUGCUGGCCUUGCUGGGCUCUUCUCCUUCCUAUUCACUGUCCCCUGUGUGAUCUGAUCCUCGCAGACCCACGUCCUCCUAACACAGCUACAGCUGGCCACCACAGGUCUAAGAACAAGGUUCACUGAGAUUCCUAGAUCGUUCUCAUUCUCUUCACUCUUUCUUGAAGGGAACAGGCACUGUGCAUUAGACCACCCACUAUGUACAGAACAGUGGGACUGGGAAGAGAGUGGGAGGCUCAGGGUGGCGGCUGAGAAGGCAUGGGAGAACUCCCCUCAGGAAUGCUUUGGUCAAAGGCAAACUUCCAUGUGGCCUGGCCUGAGAGAAAGAGGGAGGUUCCAGAGCCUCGGAAGUCUGAGCCAAUCUCCCAGUUUAGGAAUCGCCCUGCACCAGCUCCCUUCCAGCCUGUGCAAGCUUUAUAGGAAGCAACAAGUACCAGGCAAGACUCGGUGUGUAGUUAUUGAAGGCAGAGCCUGCUUGCUGGUAGGUAAUCUCCCCUCAAAAACACCCUUGUAGACAGCAUGAUGUGCAAGUGUGGGCAUGGGCGAGCACUCAGUCACACAUGCCUGGUCCCUUCCCCUGGAACCACUGGGAAGAGCAGCUGGGGAGGAAUUGGGGACACACAGUAUCUAGGGGGAGGAAGAAUAAAAUUGCUGGGCGGACGGCACAGAAACCAAGCCUGUGGUUGUACAAGGAGGGCUGCAAGAGAAAAAGCCUCGUAAGAAAAGAUGGGGUGGGUUAGAGGCAAUCUUUACCCAUGACCCAGGCACAGCCAGCAAAGCCCACCCUUCCUAAAUUGCCAGCUCAGCUUCCAACAUGCCUCAAGUCUCUGUUUCCACCGGCCCUAUCCCGACCCAAAGACCUAUGCAUGUUCUUUCCAGGCACAGCAUUCAGUUCCAGCCCGAGGUAUCUUUCCCAUCUGCAGCUCCAACUCUGUGUCUAACCGCAGGCCCAGAUCCCUCCCUUUCCUUUCCCUCUUCAGGAAGGAAUGUCCUCUGGCUUCAGGGGAGAUCCUGCCACCUAGUGACCGUAGAGUCACAGGUAUCGGGUCAGAAUAUCCCUCAGUUUUCCAGGCAAAUGCUCUGCUCCUACAGAUGCGGAGACUGAAGUUCGGGUAGAGCGAUGGCUAAACCACUAAACUGCGGAUGAUGGGGAUCUAUUCCUGUGCUUUCUCAACCCAGUCACCCCCUCUGACCUCUGCUGGACAGACCCGAGGACAGGGAAGUCCCCUCUAGAGAAGAGGGCUCAGACCUACUGCAGCACAAGACCAAGGGACAGAGAGACCCUCUGCACAAGAAGCUGCCUGCCAACCAGACCCACAACCUCAGCCAACUCCUACCUAUGCAGCCCAACCUAGGCUGCUACUUCCAAUGGGACGCAGGUUUCUCCAAACAGCAAAGCAUGUGGGCUCCAUCUGGACAGGCCUGAGUCACAGGAGAACACCCUGCCCACCCCAGCUACCCUCAGCAAGGUCAGUUUUCCAUCCUAGUGUGUCUCCUACACCCUGCGGCAGGUCGCUGGAGGCCAUACCUCAGGAAUGCCCCCCUACUGGUCUGCAUUAUUGCCAGUGAUAGAGACUGCACCUGGGGAUAGACAGACUGCACCAGCUCCUGGCAGAAUCCUGGUGUCUUUGUCCUUGUAGCCUACAAGAGAACCUUCCUUAAUUCUACCCUAAGGGAGGUACUCACCACUGAUCUGGGAGAAAUACCAUUGUCCAGGCUAUGUUUUAGGGGACAGAGUGAACAGUGGGCUCUAGGCUGAGAGCUAGGAGUGCAGACCUUGGGGAAGCAGGCCCCUCCUUUCUGACCUGCAUCUGUGGCACAGGGCCAUGAGGUCUUGUUCAAAGACUGUGGUGGGUCAAGAUGAAGCUAUGAAUCUAAGGCCUUAGCACAGAAGCUGGGAUAGAGUAAAGGACAGCAUCCACUCCAUCAGGUGCUAUUCCUUUGGGUACUCGUUUCAUUUAAACUUUUUAUCAUUUUGAGCUUUACAUUUUUUUUUUAAAUCAACCUCAAUCUUGCUCUGUGUGUGUCGGUAUGUGGUUAUGUACAUGUGAGGACAUGGAGGCCAGAAGCAUUGGAUCCUCUGGAGCUGGAGUUAGAAGCAGUUGUGAGCCAUCAGACAUGCGUGCUAGGAUGUGAUCUGAGGUCCUCUGUAAGAGCAGGCAGCGCUGUAUCGAUGAAUGCUAAAGCGACUCACACAGGAGACUUCAUGAAGGUUGGAAGACACUGCAAAGUAUGAAGAUGCACUCAGCCGCAAGACACAUGGGUGGAGCACACAAGUACUCCUCCACAGUCAUGGAAUCACAGGGCCACACAAGAAGGGGCUAUGUCCAUUUUAUUCUCCCCCACCAUAAAUUCUAUCAGUGCCCAGCUUGGAACGGACACACACCAGGUGUUCAGCAACACAUCUGGAGGCACAUUCAUGCUUGCAAGUGUGCAUAUGCAUGACUGGGUCCACACACAGGUUCAUGAGCUGAUGUAAAUCUCCACCAAGGAGGCACAGGUGCACACAGACAUGGACUGUCACACCCAUCACUCUAAAACAAACUCGGAUUGGAACAAAACCUGGCACCUUGGGUACAGGAGGAAGCAGAAGUCACAUGAAUCCCCCAGCGCUCAGCCCUGUCAUCAUCCCCUCCCACCUCAGCAGCUGAGAGUAGGACUCAGAGGGUGUCAUAGAUCAGGGCUCUUGCCAUCCACCUGGGCCUAUCCCAGAUGUGGAGCUGCAGAGAAGAACCCCAGCAGAGCCCAUCUGUGCCCCUCCUAGGCAUCAAACCCCUUGAAUAAGGCAAUUUGAAAGUGUAAUCUAACUCUGCCUCAUCUCUCUCUCGCAAUCUCGUUUUCUCAGAAGUAACUAUUCCGCACAGGCCCGCCCGCACAGCCUGCGAGGCGGCUUCCAUUUCACACUGGUUUUAUCUCCACAAUUUCUCGUCUCAGUGCACUUCUAUCCCAGGCCCCGCCACGUGGCAGGUGAGGCCAGAGCUAAUAGCAUUUCCUACUCAUUUGGAAUCAAAAGCCAAGAGGAACAACUGUUGGAACGCAUGGCCAUGGUCACCCAGUCC